Molecule: non-coding RNA, 138 nt
Organism: Gossypium hirsutum (cotton)
Lineage: Eukaryota; Viridiplantae; Streptophyta; Magnoliopsida; Malvales; Malvaceae
Source: Rfam
UACCAAAAUUUUAUCCAUUUAUACUAUUAAAAACUGAGGAUGGAACAACCCGACACUAACACGUGGCAUGCCACAUAUACCUCAUGUUGAGGUAUAAAGAUUAAUUUUUAAUAGUAAAAAUAGAUGACUAAUUUGCUA